GACCGCUCUGGUAGCCUAAUGGUUAGAGCGUCCGCCUCGGAUGCGGGAGGUCUCGGGUUGGAACCCCCGGCCGAGUCA
Molecule: non-coding RNA, 78 nt
Organism: Potamilus streckersoni
Lineage: Eukaryota; Metazoa; Mollusca; Bivalvia; Unionida; Unionidae
Source: the annotation of a GenBank genome assembly